AUAAGGAACUGGCCUGCAGGUCAUAUAAUGUACCACAAAAAAAAAAAAGAUGCGGUACAUUAUCUGAUCUGCAGGCCAGUUCCUUAU
Non-coding RNA from Podarcis lilfordi (Lilford's wall lizard), 87 nucleotides. NCBI's taxonomy places the organism in Eukaryota, Metazoa, Chordata, Lepidosauria, Squamata, Lacertidae. The record is from the annotation of a GenBank genome assembly.